Long non-coding RNA from Cydia pomonella (codling moth), 3448 nucleotides. RefSeq lists it as uncharacterized. NCBI's taxonomy places the organism in Eukaryota, Metazoa, Arthropoda, Insecta, Lepidoptera, Tortricidae. The record is from RefSeq and is a predicted model, not a curated record. The transcript has 3 exons.
AUUAAGUAGGUACAUUGAAGAGUGUUCGCUGGUGCGUUGAUUUAAAAUACGACAGCAUGUUGAAGAAUAUAGGUAAUUACCGUGUUACCCAAUAACAUCGAAUUUAUUUUAAUACCAGCUUUGAGAAACAUUAUUAUUGAACAUAACGUAUAUUAUUUACAUGACAAUGACUUCACCGUGCGAAAGUUUGAGCGACUUACGGACCCUCUUAUAAAAAUCACAUGAUUACCGUGUACAAUAAUUCAAAUUCAGUUACGUCUAUUGCGCAGUUCCCACCAGGCGAGAUUUCUCCCCUAAGCAAGUACGUACAGGUAAACAUAGAUAGAAGGAAAGACGAUCGAGGGGUCGAAAUCAAUGCGCAUAAAGAAAAGGGAGGCAUUGUGUGCGUAUACGCAAGGAACGGCGAGUACACGUGCGCGCGCGCUCCCACGGUCACUCGGGAGCGGGGUGGGACUCGGGACCCAUAUAUAAGGGUGCUGGGCUCACCUACAAAUCACUUCACAAUUGGCACAGAUACAGUCAUCGUCUCCGGGGUCCCCUUGGACCCCGGGAGAAGUGUUCAGUAGCGCCGAACCGUGUUUAUGUAUCGGAAAGUUUACCAAGUGGAAGUAUUAUUUCAAAAAUUAACCGAAACAGUAACAACAGUUGAGUGGAGUUUUAACAAGUUCUGAAGGUGUAUAAGCAGUUCAUGGAAUUCAAAAUGAUAUUGAAACAGUUGGAAAACCUUCCAAUAAAUUUGAGGAAUUUCUUUUGUGUUUCCCGAUGUUGCCGGUUGACGGUUCCAGCAUACCUACAAUUGAAACGAGAAACACAUUUUCCAUCACUACCUUUAUCGACCAACACUUUGAGGACGCAUUCAGACAUUAAAAGCGAUGGAAAAGUCUCCAAAGAAUUUGACGAAUUUCCUUUGUGGUUCCCGAUCCCGAUGUUGCCGGUUGACAUCGGAUUUCAACAUACGAGUACUUAGCAUCGAAACGAGAAACACAUUUUCGAUCAUCGCCUUCAUCGACCAACACUUUCUGGACGCAUUCAGGUGAAUUAAAGUGUUUUUAUCCAAAAAAAAUCUCCGUAGUUUUAUAGACAUGUAAUUAGGAUAGAUUAGCAGGUUACUCUAGUUAGGUUCCUUAGGUUAGCUUGUUUGAAAAUAGAUUUAUAACUUUUCAAGUUCUUAGAUUAGGUAUACCGAGUUAGUUCAUACCUACAUAUUUCUGUAAAAGUUAUUCAUGAUAUAACUUGGUACGCGGAAAAGUUCGAAAGAACAUCUCAAUUCAAAAGAUAAAUUUGACAUGCCUUAAUGUUCGGUGCACAUUGUUGUGUUUGCAAGUUACUUUCCCUGUUAUCGUUCUUCUUGUUAGUUCUUGACUUCUUAAUGCAUUGAUGUUACCAUUGUUACUUUGUGUUGCAUUUUAGUGUUUUCAUCAUUGAGACUGUUAACAAAAAUUCCAUCAUUAAUAACAUAAUGAUUUAAUUCUUUGGCAUUGUUUUUGAUAAGUUUUAAAACUCAUUAAGUUUGAUAAAAAUCAUCAUCGUUAAAUUUACUGUUUAAAAAAAGAGUAACGCGUUUUACGUGCUACGCAACGUUUAGAAUUCUCAAGUUGUUAAUUCCGUAGGUACUGUUACUUGUUACUGUUCUCUGUUGUUAGUUGUUAUUGUUAUUUUUUGUUCCAAUGAUUGUUUACAUGUGUAACAAAGUUUGAUGUUGAAAAUCAGUUAAUUAACGUGUUGAGUUACCAUUGAUGAAACUUGUAACCCUCAUCAAAUGCACUGAGCAAUUACAAGCCUUCUGUCAUUACAUCAGCUGCUCCAAAGUUAUUUUAAAUUAAGAACCUUAGGUAACUUGUUAAUCGUUAUUGUUCAUGUUUUCUUAAUUUGUUGAUUUUUUGUUUAUUUUUGCAUUUUGUGGUAGCCAGCUGGUCUGACUACACUUUGUUUCGUUUUAACUACUCCACUGUUCUCGUUUUGUUCUUUACCGUUACUUGUUAUAAUGGCUGUUUUUGUUUUUAAUUUAUUGUGUAAUGGGUUAAAGUUCUUGUUCUCAAUAGUUGAUUUUUUGUUUUGUUCUUUAACGUCCCAAAUUCACGUACCAAAAUUGCCUUAACCAACUUACUGUUAAUCAAAUCCAUAGUUCAGUUUAUCUGGCAUCGUUUAAAAGUUGAAUUUUUGUUUCAUUGUUAGCUUAUCAUAAAAGUGUUAAGUUUUUGUUAAUGCCGUAAUUUGUUUGUUGAUUUCACUGUUAGCCGAAAGUUGAGUUUUUGUUUUGUGUUUCAAACUGAACUUUCAUACCGAUAGCCCAUAAACCUCCGUAACAGCUAUCGUUCCGAAAAAAAUAUACCACUUUGUAUCUUUCACUCCAAUAUCUCUAAAUGAUUAUUUGCUUUAAGUUCAGUACAGUUCUAUUUCACAUAUAAUACAAUCAUAAUGUUUAAUAUACUACGCUGAUAUUGUAUUUGUUAUUAUUUGUUUGAAACAAUCACGAUGUGCCUUAAAUCAAGUGCCUGUUGUUGUUUCACCUUAUUUGUAAGAUUGUCUUAAUUUCUCCUGCCAAUGUUUUUCCUUAUACGAAAAACGUUUUCGGGACAAAUUCUUGUUGAUAUGUAGGUAUAAAUAAACUUUUUUGUGCUAAUCUACUUAGCUUUCGCUGAAGUAGGUUAGAACAUUGACCAACUAUUUGCAAUUUGUUAAAGACAUACGGCUUGCAAUGUCAUAUUCUGAGGCCUCCUAUAUAGACCAAAUGUGUAUCAGAGACGCUCGAUAAUAAUAUCGUAGACGUAUGAUUUUAUCAAUUACCAAAUAUUUGGCUUUAAAUGUACCUUGUUUCAAAAGCCUAACGAUGUUUUUAUCCUCUAUCACAGCUUUAAAAUUUUCAAUAGAAGUACGAAUUUUGAUCGUUUGUGCGUUACAGAUAUUACCAGGAAAAGCUAACCGUUUUUCCGGUUGUAUCUCGGUCCGUAUCUACAACAUGUAAAUACGGUAGCAUCCACAUAUAACCCUUGAAACAGAAUGGUAACAUACAAAGGCAUUGUUCGCGGGGAUAAAAUAAUCGUUACGUAUUCAAAUUGUUACUAUUGUUUACGUUAAGCCGUUGUUAAUAUCGUUAAAGUUAACUAGUUUUAAGCGUUGAAUUGUUGUUAAGUUUGAUUGUGAUAUUAUUGUUAAAAUUUCAUGUGGCUGUGUAUGUUAAUUUUAUGUUAAGUUUUCGUUUUAACUGUUCAUUUGUUCGCCGCCGGCAUUAAGGCUGAAACUAAAAGCUGUAAAACCAAAACAUUGUUAUUUAACUUUAAUUUAAGUCUCUUAUAAGUGUUUUGUAUACUAAUUAGGUUAAAACUGAAGCUUGGAAUAAAAUUAACAACUAGUUAAGUGAGUGUCAGAUAAUAUAAGGAUAAUUUAUUAGAGACGAAUGGGAGAAAUCGUGUUUGUGAAUUGUGUGAAAUAAAAAGAGAAAACACUC